GCAUAUCAAUAAGCGGAGGAAAAGAAACCAACAGGGAUUGCCCUAGUAACGGCGAGUGAAGCGGCAACAGCUCAAAUUUGAAAUCUGGCCCUAGGCCCGAGUUGUAAUUUGCAGAGGAUGCUUUUGGUGAGGUGCUUACCGAGUCCCCUGGAAUGGGGCGCCACAGAGGGUGAGAGCCCCGUAUGGUUUGACGCCGAGCCUCUGUAAAGCUCCUUCGACGAGUCGAGUAGUUUGGGAAUGCUGCUCUAAAUGGGAGGUAAAUUUCUUCUAAAGCUAAAUACCGGCCAGAGACCGAUAGCGCACAAGUAGAGUGAUCGAAAGAUGAAAAGCACUUUGAAAAGAGGGUUAAAUAGCACGUGAAAUUGUUGAAAGGGAAGCGCUCGUGACCAGACUUGCGCCGGGCGGAUCAUCCAGCGUUCUCGCUGGUGCACUCCGCCCGGCUCAGGCCAGCAUCGGUUUUCGCCGGGGGACAAAAGCUUCGGGAACGUAGCUCCUCUCGGGGAGUGUUAUAGCCCGUUGCAUAAUACCCCGGCGGGGACCGAGGACCGCGCUUCGGCAAGGAUGCUGGCGUAAUGGUCAUCAGCGACCCGUCUUGAAACACGGACCGAGGAGUCAAGCAUUAGUGCGAGUGUUUGGGUGUAAAACCCGCACGCGUAAUGAAAGUGAACGUAGGUGAGAGCUUCGGCGCAUCAUCGACCGAUCCUGAUGUUUUCGGAUGGAUUUGAGUAGGAGCAUUAACGCUUGGACCCGAAAGAUGGUGAACUAUACUUGAAUAGGGUGAAGCCAGAGGAAACUCUGGUGGAGGCUCGCAGCGGUUCUGACGUGCAAAUCGAUCGUCAAAUUUGAGUAUAGGGGCGAAAGACUAAUCGAACCAUCUAGUAGCUGGUUACCGCCGA
RNAcentral lists this ribosomal RNA (896 nucleotides) under Gaeumannomyces tritici. Its description in RNAcentral is "LSU rRNA". It matches the Rfam family "Eukaryotic large subunit ribosomal RNA", at positions 38 to 964 of the family's 3401-position model. The record is from RNAcentral. Lineage: Eukaryota; Fungi; Ascomycota; Sordariomycetes; Magnaporthales; Magnaporthaceae.